Molecule: transfer RNA, 69 nt
Filed under: Pantoea vagans
Lineage: Bacteria; Pseudomonadati; Pseudomonadota; Gammaproteobacteria; Enterobacterales; Erwiniaceae
Description: tRNA-Thr
Source: RNAcentral
GUACUCAUUUGGGAGUUGGCUCGCAUUCGUAAUGCGAAGGUCGUAGGUUCGAUUCCUGUUUUCGCACCA